Molecule: ribosomal RNA, 521 nt
Filed under: Lactobacillus sp.
Lineage: Bacteria; Bacillati; Bacillota; Bacilli; Lactobacillales; Lactobacillaceae
Description: bacterial SSU rRNA
Rfam family: Bacterial small subunit ribosomal RNA
Source: RNAcentral
UGCAGUCGAGCGAGCAGAACCAGCAGAUUUACUUCGGUAAUGACGCUGGGGACGCGAGCGGCGGAUGGGUGAGUAACACGUGGGGAACCUGCCCCAUAGUCUGGGAUACCACUUGGAAACAGGUGCUAAUACCGGAUAAGAAAGCAGAUCGCAUGAUCAGCUUAUAAAAGGCGGCGUAAGCUGUCGCUAUGGGAUGGCCCCGCGGUGCAUUAGCUAGUUGGUAAGGUAACGGCUUACCAAGGCAAUGAUGCAUAGCCGAGUUGAGAGACUGAUCGGCCACAUUGGGACUGAGACACGGCCCAAACUCCUACGGGAGGCAGCAGUAGGGAAUCUUCCACAAUGGACGCAAGUCUGAUGGAGCAACGCCGCGUGAGUGAAGAAGGUUUUCGGAUCGUAAAGCUCUGUUGUUGGUGAAGAAGGAUAGAGGUAGUAACUGGCCUUUAUUUGACGGUAAUCAACCAGAAAGUCACGGCUAACUACGUGCCAGCAGCCGCGGUAAUAGAUCGGAAGAGCACACGUCU